This is an unclassified non-coding RNA of Kryptolebias marmoratus (mangrove rivulus), 105 nucleotides long. It matches the Rfam family "Y RNA". Rfam says of the family: Y RNAs are components of the Ro ribonucleoprotein particle (Ro RNP), in association with Ro60 and La proteins. Lineage: Eukaryota; Metazoa; Chordata; Actinopteri; Cyprinodontiformes; Rivulidae. The record is from Ensembl.
GGUUGGUCCGAUGGCGGUGAGAUUUCAAAUGAUUGCUACAGUGAGUUACAGAACCUCUAAGUUUCUUCUCUCCCCUUCCUCACCGCUGACCUUGACUAGCCUUUU